Molecule: small nuclear RNA, 163 nt
Organism: Salarias fasciatus (jewelled blenny)
Lineage: Eukaryota; Metazoa; Chordata; Actinopteri; Blenniiformes; Blenniidae
Gene: U1
Rfam family: U1 spliceosomal RNA
About the family: U1 is a small nuclear RNA (snRNA) component of the spliceosome (involved in pre-mRNA splicing). Its 5' end forms complementary base pairs with the 5' splice junction, thus defining the 5' donor site of an intron. There are significant differences in sequence and secondary structure between metazoan and yeast U1 snRNAs, the latter being much longer (568 nucleotides as compared to 164 nucleotides in human).
Source: Ensembl
AUACUUACCUGGCAGGAGCGACACCAUGAUCAUGAAGGUGGUUUGCUCAGGGUGAGGUAUUGCCAUUGCACUUCGGCGUACUGACCUCUGCGAAUUCCCCAAAUGUGGGAAUCUCGACUGCAUAAUUUAUGGUAGUGGGGGACUGCGUCCGCGCUCUCCCCUG